This 2067-nucleotide ribosomal RNA is filed under the name Spirostomum sp. Valltjaern. RNAcentral describes it as "bacterial LSU rRNA". It matches the Rfam family "Bacterial large subunit ribosomal RNA", at positions 3 to 2072 of the family's 2925-position model. The record is from RNAcentral. Lineage: Eukaryota; Ciliophora; Heterotrichea; Heterotrichida; Spirostomidae.
UCAAGCGAGAAAGGGUCCAUGGUGGAUGCCUUGGAGCUAUCCGACGAAGAAGGCCGCGGUAAGCUGCGAAAAGCCAGGGGGAGGAGCAAACAUCCUAUAAUCCCUGGGUAGCCGAAUGGGGUAACCCGACAGAGCGAACCUCUGUCAUCGUGCGAUGAAUACAUAGUCGUAUGAAGUGAGACGCGGGGAACUGAACCAUCUAAGUACCUGCAGGAAAAGAAAUCAAAGAGAUUCCCUUAGUAGCGGCGAGCGAAGCGGGAGGAGCCUAAACCACACUGUUUCGGCAGCUGUGGGGUUGUAGGGCAUCUUGGCUAGGAGUAAGAAAUCGAUUUUAUAGCGGAACGCUACUGGAAAGGGCGACCAAAGAGGGUGACGGUCCCGUACGCGAAAUGAAAUUGACUCUCAAGAUGUACCUGAGUAAGACGGAUCACGAGGAAUUUUGUCUGAAUCUAGGGAGACCACUCUCUAAGGCUAAAUACGAGAUAGCUACCGAUAGUGAACGAGUACCGUGAGGGAAGUGGUGAAAAGCACCCCGGGAGGGGAGUGAAAGAGAACCUGAAACCGUGGACCUACAAGCGGUCAAAGCCUCGCAAGGGGUGAUGGCGUGCCUUUUGUAGAAUGAGCCUGCGAGUUACCGUAGUUAGCAAGGUUAAAGGAUAGAAGUCCUGGAGCCGGAGUGAAAGCGAGCCUGAAUAGGGCGAUAAGUUAGCUGCGGUAGACCCGAAGCCGAGUGAUCUACCUAUGGCCAGGUUGAAGCUUCAGUAAAAUGAAGUGGAGGACCGAACUCUAGUCUGUUUAAAAAGGCAGGGAUGAGCUGUGGGUAGGGGUGAAAGGCUAAUCAAACUCGGAUAUAGCUGGUACUCCUUGAAAUGGAUUUAGGUUCAGCGUUGGAUGGUUUUUAUCGGAGGUAGAGCACUGAUUAGGCUAGGGCCCGUCACUGGGUACCAAACUUAGUCAAACUCCGAAUGCCGAUAAACAAAGUCCGGCAGUGAGACUGUGGGUGAUAAGAUUCAUGGUCGAGAGGGGAACAGCCCAGACCGUCGGUUAAGGUCCCAAAACUAUGCUAAGUGGAAAAGGAAGUGCAGCGGCUGAGACAGCCAGGAUGUUGGCUUAGAAGCAGCCACUCAUUUAAAGAGUGCGUAAUAGCUCACUGGUCGAGUCGUUGUGCGCCGAUAAUGUAACGGGGCUAAGCAUAGUACCGAAACUGCGGAUCAGUAGUAAUACUGGUGGUAAAGGAGCAUUCCCGAGGGCGUUGAAGUUGUGGUGAGAACCAUGGUGGAGCUAAGGGAAGAGAGAAUGCAGGCAUGAGUAACGAAAAGGCAGGUGAGAUUCCUGCCCGCCGAAAAUCUAAGGUUUCCUGGGUGAAGGCAAUCUUCCCAGGGUUAGUCGGUUCCUAAGGCGAGGCCGAGAGGCGUAGUCGAUGGGAAACGGGUUAAUAUUCCCGUACCUUUUUAUGGUCUGAUGGGAUGACGCAUAGGAUGAAGUACUGCCCCUUAUUGGAUUGGGGUCUAAGCAGUAGGCCGUUGAGACUGGUAGGCAAAUCCGCCGGUUGAGGUGAGCUGUAAAAGAUAGUGGAGAUUCGUCGAAGCGAAGAGUAUGGAGUCGUCGUGCCAAGAAAUAAUCUCUAGGGUUAAAUCAUAGAAAGACCGUACCGCAAACCGACACAGGUGGAUGGGAUGAAUAUUCUAAGGCGCACGGGAGAACUCGCGUUAAGGAACUCGGCAAAAUACAUACGUAACUUCGGGAAAAGUAUGACCAAUGCAAGUUGGUAGCAUAAAAUUGGCCCAAGCGACUGUUUACCAAAAACACAGGUCUCUGCAAAUUCGUAAGAAGAAGUAUAGGGGCUGACACCUCCCCGGUGCUGGAAGGUUAAGGGGAGUUGUUAGGCGCAAGCCGAAGCAGCGAACUGAAGCCCCAGUAUACGGCGGCCGUAACUAUAACGGUCCUAAGGUAGCGAAAUUCCUUGUCGGGUAAGUUCCGACCCGCACGAAUGGUGUAACGACUUGGGCACUGUCUCAACGCGAGACCCGGUGAAAUUGACGUACCUGUGAAGAUGCAGGUUACCUG